UACGGGAGGCAGCAGUGGGGAAUAUUCCACAGGGGGAGAAACGUGCUGACUCGCAGCCGACCGCCGCGUGGACGAAGAAGUUCUUGCGGGUAGAAAGCUCUUUUCGAAGGAAAGAAAUGACGUCC
Molecule: ribosomal RNA, 125 nt
Filed under: uncultured bacterium
Lineage: Bacteria
Description: partial 16S ribosomal RNA
Source: RNAcentral